GACGAACGCUGGCGGCGUGCCUAAUACAUGCAAGUAGAACGCUGAAGGAGGAGCUUGCUUCUUCGGAUGAGUUGCGAACGGGUGAGUAACGCGUAGGUAACCUGCCUGGUAGCGGGGGAUAACUAUUGGAAACGAUAGCUAAUACCGCAUAACAGUAGAUGUUGCAUGACAUUUGCUUAAAAGGUGCAAUUGCAUCACUACCAGAUGGACCUGCGUUGUAUUAGCUAGUUGGUGGGGUAACGGCUCACCAAGGCGACGAUACAUAGCCGACCUGAGAGGGUGAUCGGCCACACUGGGACUGAGACACGGCCCAGACUCCUACGGGAGGCAGCAGUAGGGAAUCUUCGGCAAUGGACGGAAGUCUGACCGAGCAACGCCGCGUGAGUGAAGAAGGUUUUCGGAUCGUAAAGCUCUGUUGUAAGAGAAGAACGAGUGUGAGAGUGGAAAGUUCACACUGUGACGGUAUCUUACCAGAAAGGGACGGCUAACUACGUGCCAGCAGCCGCGGUAAUACGUAGGUCCCGAGCGUUGUCCGGAUUUAUUGGGCGUAAAGCGAGCGCAGGCGGUUAGAUAAGUCUGAAGUUAAAGGCUGUGGCUUAACCAUAGUACGCUUUGGAAACUGUUUAACUUGAGUGCAAGAGGGGAGAGUGGAAUUCCAUGUGUAGCGGUGAAAUGCGUAGAUAUAUGGAGGAACACCGGUGGCGAAAGCGGCUCUCUGGCUUGUAACUGACGCUGAGGCUCGAAAGCGUGGGGAGCAAACAGG
This 763-nucleotide ribosomal RNA is filed under the name uncultured Streptococcus sp. Its description in RNAcentral is "bacterial SSU rRNA". It matches the Rfam family "Bacterial small subunit ribosomal RNA", at positions 28 to 776 of the family's 1533-position model. The record is from RNAcentral. Lineage: Bacteria; Bacillati; Bacillota; Bacilli; Lactobacillales; Streptococcaceae.